UCCUACGGGGGGCAGCAGUAAGGGAUAUUGGUCAAUGGGGGAAACCCUGAACCAGCAACGCCGCGUGAGGGAAGACGGUUUUCGGAUUGUAAACCUCUGUCCUCUGUGAAGAUGAUGACGGUAGCAGAGGAGGAAGCUCCGGCUAACUACGUGCCAGCAGCCGCGGUAAUACGUAGGGAGCGAGCGUUGUCCGGAUUUACUGGGUGUAAAGGGAGCGCAGGCGGGAAGCCAAGUCAGCUGUGAAAACUACGGGCUUAACUUGUAG
Molecule: ribosomal RNA, 265 nt
Filed under: uncultured bacterium
Lineage: Bacteria
Description: partial 16S ribosomal RNA
Rfam family: Bacterial small subunit ribosomal RNA
Source: RNAcentral